AGGGGCGUAGCUCAGUCUGGUCAGAGCGCUGCUCUCCAAAAGCAGAUGCCGAGGGUUCGAAUCCUUCCGCCCCUGCCA
RNAcentral lists this transfer RNA (78 nucleotides) under Chloroflexota bacterium. RNAcentral's name for it is "Chloroflexi bacterium tRNA-Trp". It matches the Rfam family "tRNA". From Rfam's summary of the family: Transfer RNA (tRNA) molecules are approximately 80 nucleotides in length. Their secondary structure includes four short double-helical elements and three loops (D, anti-codon, and T loops). Further hydrogen bonds mediate the characteristic L-shaped molecular structure. tRNAs have two regions of fundamental functional importance: the anti-codon, which is responsible for specific mRNA codon recognition, and the 3' end, to which the tRNAs corresponding amino acid is attached (by aminoacyl-tRNA synthetases). tRNAs cope with the degeneracy of the genetic code in two manners: having more than one tRNA (with a specific anti-codon) for a particular amino acid; and 'wobble' base-pairing, i.e. permitting non-standard base-pairing at the 3rd anti-codon position. Lineage: Bacteria; Bacillati; Chloroflexota. The record is from RNAcentral. RNAcentral also lists the same sequence under 3 other names.